ACGAACGCUGGCGGCGUGCUUAACACAUGCAAGUCGAACGGAAAGGCCCUGCUUGCAGGGUACUCGAGUGGCGAACGGGUGAGUAACACGUGGGUGAUCUGCCCUGCACUUCGGGAUAAGCUUGGGAAACUGGGUCUAAUACCGGAUAGGAGCCAUCUUUAGUGUGGUGGUUGGAAAGUUUUUUCGGUGUAGGAUGAGCUCGCGGCCUAUCAGCUUGUUGGUGGGGUAAUGGCCUACCAAGGCGGCGACGGGUAGCCGGCCGGAGAGGGUGUACGGCCACAUUGGGACUGAGAUACGGCCCAGCCUCCUACGGGAGGCAGCGGUGGGGAAGAUUGCACAAUGGGCGCAAGCCUGAUGCAGCGACGCCGCGUGGGGAUGAAGGCCUUCGGGUUGUAAACUCCUUUCGCUAGGGACGAAGCUUUUUUGUGACGGUACCUAGAUAAGAAGCACCGGCUAACUACGUG
RNAcentral lists this ribosomal RNA (464 nucleotides) under uncultured bacterium. RNAcentral describes it as "partial 16S ribosomal RNA". It matches the Rfam family "Bacterial small subunit ribosomal RNA", at positions 29 to 507 of the family's 1533-position model. The record is from RNAcentral.